RNAcentral lists this transfer RNA (76 nucleotides) under Lates calcarifer (barramundi perch). Its description in RNAcentral is "tRNA-Lys". It matches the Rfam family "tRNA". Rfam says of the family: Transfer RNA (tRNA) molecules are approximately 80 nucleotides in length. Their secondary structure includes four short double-helical elements and three loops (D, anti-codon, and T loops). Lineage: Eukaryota; Metazoa; Chordata; Actinopteri; Centropomidae. The record is from RNAcentral.
CGCUAAGAAGCUAAGACAGGAAAGCAGCGUUAGCCUUUUAAGCUAAAGAUUGGUGGCGCCUAAUCACCCUUAGCGA